CCUACGGGAGGCAGCAGUGAGGAAUAUUGGUCAAUGGGCGGAAGCCUGAACCAGCCAAGUAGCGUGCGGGAUGAAGGCCCUAUGGGUCGUAAACCGCUAUUGCACGGGGAUAACACCCUCCACUUGUGGAGGUCUGCAGGUACCGUGCGAAGAAGGGCAGGCUAAUUACAGGCCAGCAGCCGCGGUAAUACGGAAGGACCGAGCGUUAUCCGGAUGCAUUGGGCUUAAAGUGAACGUAGGCGGGCGUGCAAGUCAGCGGUAAAAGCGCGCGGCUCAACCGCGCCCCGCAGUUGAAACUGGACGCCUUGAGUUCACAACAGGCAGGCGGAAUUCGUGGUGUAGCGGUGAAAUGCAUAGAUAUCACGAGGAACCCCGAUUGCGAAGGCAGCCUGCCGGGGUGCGACUGACGCUGAGGCUCGAAGGUGCGGGUAUCAAACAGGAUUAGAUACCCCUGUAGUC
Molecule: ribosomal RNA, 459 nt
Filed under: uncultured bacterium
Lineage: Bacteria
Description: partial 16S ribosomal RNA
Rfam family: Bacterial small subunit ribosomal RNA
Source: RNAcentral